GUGAACAUGAAGUAAAUGUUCUAUAGCCCUCUAGGACUCUAAAUAUAAAUAACAGUAUAUGCUUAUCGCCAAAAAGAAACGAGAAGAACAAGUUUGUGACUGGUAUUAUGGAGCAGAAACCUAUCAUUGUUUGCUUUAUGGUGCUUCUGCUGCUAGGAAAUUGCACUCAUGCUGAGUAUUGCAAAACUGAACCUGCUUUUGAGACCGCUUUGUGCGCAUAUGUUACUUGCCUGAGUACCUGCAUAUCCAUUUGGGGUAGUUUUGUCAAAGAAGCAGAUUGUAAGCCCGUGAGACCGUUCGAUACAAUUUGUACUUGUCUCGUCUGUUUCUAGAAUUACAACCUGCCAUCAUGUCGACCCAUGGGCAAUGAUGUGAUCCAGUAAUAAAAUCUUCUUGUGAAAUGCAUGUAAGGAUAUAUGAGGUCACUAAAUUUGGAUGUUACAGUUUAAUUUGAUUUGAUUUUGUUC
Hordeum vulgare subsp. vulgare (domesticated barley) is the source of this 467-nucleotide long non-coding RNA. RefSeq lists it as uncharacterized. The transcript is spliced from 2 exons. The record is from RefSeq and is a predicted model, not a curated record. Lineage: Eukaryota; Viridiplantae; Streptophyta; Magnoliopsida; Poales; Poaceae.